GCGCCUUUAGUUCAGUCGGUAGAACGUCGGUCUCCAAAACCGGAUGUCGUGGGUUCGAGUCCUACAGGGCGCG
Candidatus Melainabacteria bacterium GWF2_37_15 is the source of this 73-nucleotide non-coding RNA. NCBI's taxonomy places the organism in Bacteria, Bacillati, Candidatus Melainabacteria. The record is from Rfam.